This 400-nucleotide ribosomal RNA is filed under the name uncultured bacterium. Its description in RNAcentral is "bacterial SSU rRNA". It matches the Rfam family "Bacterial small subunit ribosomal RNA", at positions 32 to 416 of the family's 1533-position model. The record is from RNAcentral.
AAUCAACGCUGGCGGCGUGCCUAACACAUGCAAGUCGGACGCGAAAAGGGGCAACCCUGAGUAGAGUGGCGUCCGGGUGAGUAACACGUGGAUAAUCUACCUGCGGGUGGGGAAUAACUUUCCGAAAGGGGAGCUAAUACCGCAUAACACUAAGUGGUGGCAUCACCAAAUAGUCAAAGUGGGGGAUCGCAAGACCUCACGCCUGUAGUGGAGUCCGCGGCCGAUUAGCUAGUUGGUGAGGUAACAGCUCACCAAGGCGACUAUCGGUAGCCGGCCUGAGAGGAUGAUCAGCCACACUGGGACUGAGACACGGCCCAGACUCCUACGGGAGGCAGCAGUGGGAAUCUUGGACAAUGGGCGCAAGCCUGAUCCAGCCAUGCCGCGUGGGGUGAAGAAGGCC